RNAcentral lists this ribosomal RNA (466 nucleotides) under uncultured bacterium. RNAcentral describes it as "partial 16S ribosomal RNA". It matches the Rfam family "Bacterial small subunit ribosomal RNA", at positions 29 to 507 of the family's 1533-position model. The record is from RNAcentral.
AUGCACGCUGGCGGCGUGCUUAACACAUGCAAGUCGCACGAUGAUGCCCAGCUUGCUGGGUGGAUUAGUGGCGAACGGGUGAGUAACACGUGAGUAACCUGCCCUUGACUCUGGGAUAAGCCUGGGAAACUGGGUCUAAUACCGGAUACGACCAUCUGGCGCAUGUCAUGGUGGUGGAAAGCUUUUGUGGUUUUGGAUGGACUCGCGGCCUAUCAGCUUGUUGGUGGGGUAAUGGCCUACCAAGGCGACGACGGGUAGCCGGCCUGAGAGGGUGACCGGCCACACUGGGACUGAGACACGGCCCAGACUCCUACGGGAGGCAGCAGUGGGGAAUAUUGCACAAUGGGCGCAAGCCUGAUGCAGCGACGCCGCGUGAGGGAUGACGGCCUUCGGGUUGUAAACCUCUUUCAGUAGGGAAGAAGCGAAAGUGACGGUACCUGCAGAAGAAGCGCCGGCUAACUACGUG